CCUACGGGAGGCUGCAGUGGGGAAUAUUGGACAAUGGGCGAAAGCCUGAUCCAGCCAUGCCGCGUGUGUGAAGAAGGCCUUCGGGUUGUAAAGCACUUUCAGUGGGGAAGAAAGCCUUUGGGCUAAUACCCUCGAGGAAGGACAUCACCCACAGAAGAAGCACCGGCUAACUCCGUGCCAGCAGCCGCGGUAAUACGGAGGGUGCGAGCGUUAAUCGGAAUUACUGGGCGUAAAGCGCGCGUAGGCGGUCUGAUAAGCCGGUUGUGAAAGCCCCGGGCUCAACCUGGGAACGGCAUCCGGAACUGUCAGGCUAGAGUGCAGGAGAGGAAGGUAGAAUUCCCGGUGUAGCGGUGAAAUGCGUAGAGAUCUGGAGGAAUACCAGUGGCGAAGGCGGCCUUCUGGACUGAAACUGACGCUGAGGUGCGAAAGCGUGGGUAGCAAACAGGAUUAGAUACCCCGGUAGUC
This 465-nucleotide ribosomal RNA is filed under the name Vreelandella stevensii. RNAcentral describes it as "partial 16S ribosomal RNA". It matches the Rfam family "Bacterial small subunit ribosomal RNA", at positions 338 to 795 of the family's 1533-position model. Lineage: Bacteria; Pseudomonadati; Pseudomonadota; Gammaproteobacteria; Oceanospirillales; Halomonadaceae. The record is from RNAcentral.